GUCCUUGUAGCGCAUUGGAUAGCGCGUUGGCCUUCUGAUCCAAAGGUGCCGGGUUCGAAUCCCGGCAGGGAUG
Molecule: transfer RNA, 73 nt
Filed under: Caerostris darwini
Lineage: Eukaryota; Metazoa; Arthropoda; Arachnida; Araneae; Araneidae
Description: tRNA-Arg
Rfam family: tRNA
About the family: Transfer RNA (tRNA) molecules are approximately 80 nucleotides in length. Their secondary structure includes four short double-helical elements and three loops (D, anti-codon, and T loops).
Source: RNAcentral